AUCAUGGCUCAGGAUGAACGCUGGCGGCGUGCCUAAUACAUGCAAGUCGAACGAGUUCUCGUUGAUGAUCGGUGCUUGCACCGAGAUUCAACAUGGAACGAGUGGCGGACGGGUGAGUAACACGUGGGUAACCUGCCCUUAAGUGGGGGAUAACAUUUGGAAACAGAUGCUAAUACCGCAUAGAUCCAAGAACCGCAUGGUUCUUGGCUGAAAGAUGGCGUAAGCUAUCGCUUUUGGAUGGACCCGCGGCGUAUUAGCUAGUUGGUGAGGUAAUGGCUCACCAAGGCGAUGAUACGUAGCCGAACUGAGAGGUUGAUCGGCCACAUUGGGACUGAGACACGGCCCAAACUCCUACGGGAGGCAGCAGUAGGGAAUCUUCCACAAUGGACGCAAGUCUGAUGGAGCAACGCCGCGUGAGUGAAGAAGGCUUUCGGGUCGUAAAACUCUGUUGUUGGAGAAGAAUGGUCGGCAGAGUAACUGUUGUCGGCGUGACGGUAUCCAACCAGAAAGCCACGGCUAACUACGUGCCAGCAGCCGCGGUAAUACGUAGGUGGCAAGCGUUAUCCGGAUUUAUUGGGCGUAAAGCGAGCGCAGGCGGUUUUUUAAGUCUGAUGUGAAAGCCCUCGGCUUAACCGAGGAAGCGCAUCGGAAACUGGGAAACUUGAGUGCAGAAGAGGACAGUGGAACUCCAUGUGUAGCGGUGAAAU
This 707-nucleotide ribosomal RNA is filed under the name Lactobacillus casei group sp. RNAcentral's name for it is "bacterial SSU rRNA". It matches the Rfam family "Bacterial small subunit ribosomal RNA", at positions 16 to 687 of the family's 1533-position model. The record is from RNAcentral. Lineage: Bacteria; Bacillati; Bacillota; Bacilli; Lactobacillales; Lactobacillaceae.